Molecule: long non-coding RNA, 1119 nt
Filed under: Glycine max (soybean)
Lineage: Eukaryota; Viridiplantae; Streptophyta; Magnoliopsida; Fabales; Fabaceae
Description: long non-coding RNA (GMAX_LNC001852)
Source: RNAcentral
UUUUGAGCAAAUUAUAGAAAUGCCCAUUUUGUUUUACUUAACUACAUGAGCCACCCUCCUUUUUUCAAAAUACAAGAAAAUUCUUUAAUUUUUUUGUUUUCAUUACAAUGGCACCUUUGUAUCACAAACAUCAUUAACUUGGCUUGAUCAUGUGAUGUGAUUUUCAAGUAUUUUUUUUCCCAAAACACCCCAUCAUCAUUAUCAUUGCAUUCUCUACUUUGUUGUGCUCCUUUCUUUUCCUUCUCUUCGUUGACACAACAUUCCUCCUCUACCUCUUUGUCCUAAAGAUUUGCCUCGCCUGGAUCCAACUAAAUCACAUUAAUAUUUGAACCAACUCAAGGCCAUUCUUUACCUUUCAUUCUUCUUCAUCAUGAUCGCCAACUCAACUCCAUCACUUGAGGUGACCAUCGUAUCAAGGCGCAUGACUCCUCCUAUCUAUAUUGGUAGGAACAAUGGUAGUUAAGAUUGACAAUCUAGAUCCAAACAACAAAUAAUACAUGUGUAAUAUGUAGAAACAUAAGAGUGCACAUGUAAUUGUCAUGUGAGAAUUUAAAUGUAAUUCAAUUCUUAAAACUAAAUGUAAUGUAAUUUAAUAUCAUUAUACGAAAGUUGUCAAAAUAAUAUUUUCAAACGGAAGAAUGUCUUGUGUAAAACAUAUGAAAUAUUAUUGUAAUUUAUUCUUAUAUUCUUUCAUUUAAAAUUUAAUUAUCACGAUAUUAUUUUAAAAUAUAAAGCUAAUCACGGUAUAUUAUUUAAAAAAAAUUAGUUAUUAAAGUCUUGAAGGAGAAAUAAAUAACACUAACAUUUUUUGACGCAAUAAACAACUAAAUUAGAAUAAUAGAAUUGUUAAUUAUUCAGUCCUAUCUUAUCAUAUCUAACUAAUCAAAUAGGGCCUUAAGGACUAUUUUCUUUUAAUCCGUAGGGCCUUAGCCCUUAAGGACUAUGUAGGGAUUAGGAGAGAGAAUAAUAAUCAAAUACUUAAUUGAUGAUUUAAUGAUUAAUAUUUAAAUUACUAGCCAAAACGAAGCCGUUUGAUGACUUAGAGUUUAACCUAUGUCCCUGCCCGCUUUCGGCGCAAGACGCAGUCCCACACAACACUAGACGUUAGUGGCGGGUGCG